GAUUCCGUAGAGCUGGGCUGGGGUCCAGGACUCUGCAUUUUAAGGGAUACCCCAGGAGAUCCUG
This 64-nucleotide microRNA precursor is filed under the name Echinops telfairi (small Madagascar hedgehog). RNAcentral's name for it is "miRNA (ENSETEG00000023978.1)". Lineage: Eukaryota; Metazoa; Chordata; Mammalia; Afrosoricida; Tenrecidae. The record is from RNAcentral.